CUCUGCGCAAGGGAUCUUUUGGCUCGCGGGACGACGAAGGGCGCAGCGGAUGGCGUAAAGUGUAGAAGCAGCAGCGAUGACAACACGUGCCUGAAACAGCGAGAGCAUGAACACCCCUUUGAAUUAAGCAUAUGAGUAAAGGGAGGAAAAGAAACUUACAAGGAUUCCUGUAGUAGCGGCGAGCGAAGAAGGAAGAGCCCCGAGUGUAAUCACAUUAGUGAGAUGUCGGCGGUCGCAGCAACGGCGUUGAAUCGCCGGCCAAUGAGGGUGAUAGCCCCGUGCGAGACCGGAUGCGGGAGUAGCAGUGUUUGGUAUUGCACUGUGAACGGGUGGCAGCGCCCAUCCAAGGCUAAAUACGGCGCGAGACCGAUAGCGAAGAAGUAGUGCGAACGAAGAACGAAUAGGCUGAAAAGGUGAAAUUGCGCAGGGAGCCGAGCGACUCGGCCCCGUCUUGAAACACGGACC
RNAcentral lists this ribosomal RNA (465 nucleotides) under Microsporidium cerebralis. RNAcentral describes it as "partial large subunit ribosomal RNA". It matches the Rfam family "Archaeal large subunit ribosomal RNA", at positions 16 to 665 of the family's 2987-position model. The record is from RNAcentral. Lineage: Eukaryota; Fungi; Microsporidia.